UACGUAGGGGGCAAGCGUUAUCCGGAUUUACUGGGUGUAAAGGGAGCGUAGACGGCAUUGCAAGUCUGAUGUGAAAGAUUGGGGCCCAACCCCAGGCCUGCAUUGGAAACUGUAAAGCUGGAGUACAGGAGAGGUAAGCGGAAUUCCUAGUGUAGCGGUGAAAUGCGUAGAUAUUAGGAGGAACACCAGUGGCGAAGGCGGCUUACUGGACCGUAACUGACGUUGAGGCUCGAAAGCGUGGGGAGCAA
Molecule: ribosomal RNA, 248 nt
Filed under: uncultured Lachnospiraceae bacterium
Lineage: Bacteria; Bacillati; Bacillota; Clostridia; Lachnospirales; Lachnospiraceae
Description: partial 16S ribosomal RNA
Rfam family: Bacterial small subunit ribosomal RNA
Source: RNAcentral